AACGAACGCUGGCGGCAUGCCUAACACAUGCAAGUCGAACGAGACCUUCGGGUCUAGUGGCGAACGGGUGCGUAACGCGUGGGAACCUGCCCUUAGGUGCGGAAUAACUCCCCGAAAGGGGUGCUAAUACCGGAUAAUGUCUUCGGACCAAAGAUUUAUCGCCUUUGGAUGGGCCCGCGUUGGAUUAGCUAGUUGGUAGGGUAAAAGCCUACCAAGGCGACGAUCCAUAGCUGGUCUGAGAGGAUGAUCAGCCACACUGGGACUGAGACACGGCCCAGACUCCUACGGGAGGCAGCAGUGGGGAAUAUUGGACAAUGGGCGAAAGCCUGAUCCAGCAAUGCCGCGUGAGUGAUGAAGGACUUAGGGUUGUAAAGCUCUUUUAACCGGGAUGAUAAUGACAGUACCGGGAGAAUAAGCGCCGGCUAACUCCGUG
Molecule: ribosomal RNA, 433 nt
Filed under: uncultured bacterium
Lineage: Bacteria
Description: partial 16S ribosomal RNA
Rfam family: Bacterial small subunit ribosomal RNA
Source: RNAcentral